GCGACAUCAGUUAAGCGAGAUUA
Molecule: ribosomal RNA, 23 nt
Filed under: Acytostelium leptosomum
Lineage: Eukaryota; Evosea; Eumycetozoa; Acytosteliales; Acytosteliaceae
Description: partial 26S ribosomal RNA
Source: RNAcentral